CGGGGUGAGUAAUGCUUGGGAAUCUGGCUUAUGGAGGGGGAUAACUACGGGAAACUGUAGCUAAUACCGCGUAGUGUCGAGAGACGAAAGUGCGGGACCGAAAGGCCGCAUGCCAUGAGAUGAGCCCAAGUGGGAUUAGGUAGUUGGUGGGGUAAGGGCCUACCAAGCCUGCGAUCUCUAGCUGGUCUGAGAGGAUGGCCAGCCACACUGGAACUGAGACACGGUCCAG
Molecule: ribosomal RNA, 229 nt
Filed under: uncultured bacterium
Lineage: Bacteria
Description: partial 16S ribosomal RNA
Rfam family: Bacterial small subunit ribosomal RNA
Source: RNAcentral